CCAUUUCAAUGAUAUAGACAAGAACUGCUGGUGGCCAGGACCAGGUUGUGGCAGUAGAAGAGGGGAGCGACUAGAUUGUGUUUAUAAUUGAGAUGCACCAUCCUGGUGGCAGAUGGAAGCUGUAUAUAAACAUGGUAAGACUGGAGGCAGAGACAACAGGUAGGAGGAUAGUUCAGGUAAGAGAUUGAAAGGAUCCCAACUAGAAAGUUCAGGUAAGAGUAGAAAGAAAGUAAUAUGUUAAAGCAAUAUUUCUUGAGUAAAAUUGAUUCUACUUGGUGACUUGCUAAGAUGUGGAAGGUGAAGAGGAGAGAAAAGUCUGGGUUUUAGUUUGACAAAGUUGGUGCAAGGUGGUAUUGUUACUCGAGAUGCUAAGGAAACACUGGAACGUGAUCCUGCUAGAAUGUGAUUGGAGGAAAUUUAACUAGAGAGAUGUUAUGUUGGGAGUGCCUGGGAACUAAGUAUGAAAGAAGUCAAUGACUGAGAUGAAGAGGAAGAGAAAAAAAUGACAUUUUAAUCCAUGAACUGGUCUAUCCAGCUUUUCUCUAUAUUACUGAGAAAAAGCACAGUUGGAAAUGGAAUAGGUGGGGGCAGGUACAAAAGGGGAAAACCAAAGGUUCAUCCCAAAAGAGAUUUAGCUUCAGUCAUCCAAUCACAGAUGACUAUGCUACCUGGUGUUCCAGCAGCCAGUUCCAGUCUAAUGUUGGGAGCCCAAUGUGUUCCCAACAUAAGACUUGCUGCACCUUCAGUAAAAUUUAUUCCCAUUGACCCUGAUGAUAUAAUAGGAGGGUAUUCAUUAAACUAACAGGAAAGGGUAGUUUGGAAAAAGAUGAAUAAACAUAAACAUGUUAUCCAUUCUUUGAAAAAAUACCUACUAUGUGGUAGACUUUGUUAAAUAACUUAGAAAGCAAAAUUUGCUUACUGCCUGUAAAGAACUUUGAUGAAUUGAAGAUGCGUUUAGGAAAAUAAAGUAAGUGGGGAAGCAUUCAUAUUAGUAAACAAAGGAAGAAAAGAAGACAAAACCAAUAGAAUAGAAUAAAUGAUUGAUUUGCUUUAGGUAAGAAUGACAGAAAAAUAUGAGUUAGCAUGGACUAUAGAUUGAACAGAUUCAACAAUGUAAAUAUAAAAGCAAGGAUGAUAUUGAAAUAUCUAAAUAAAAGUAUAGCAUAUAAGAACAGUAGUGGUUCAUCUUCCUAGGAUGUCAGAUUCCCAAUUGAAUAGUGUAUCUUUUAAAGUUCUUUGGUUUUUAUCAACAGAAAUAGACCCUGGAUAUUAUUAAGGAUUAUUUCACUCAUAAGUAAUAGAAAAUUCUAUCAAAAUGCCUUAAACAACAAAGGAAAUCUACUGCCUCAUAUAACUAAAACUUUCAGGCUUCGGGCUAAUUACAGUAUCUCCAAGGAUGUGGUUUCUUUCCUUCCCCUGUAGUUUUCACAAUGUUGGCCUCAUCCUAAGACUGGUUUCUCUUGUGAUAAUAAGGCAGAUGCUGACACAACUAGGGCUUCAUGUCCAUGUCUAAUUAUUUUAAAAUAAUUCCCAUUGAAGAUAGAAGUAACCUCUUUCCUAGAAUCCCCGACAAACAUGCUCUAUAUUUGAUGGGCCUAAAUUCAGUUAUAUGUCCACUUCCAAACCAUUUGCUGUGGCCAAGGGAAGAGGGCAUGAUAAUUAGCUUGAGCCAAUCAAGAUCUGCUCCUAGAGACAGACAUGAAGUCAAUUCCACACCAAUUGCAUGACUAGAUGUCUAGAGCCUUGUUAGGAAGAAAGCAAGGGAGGGAGGUGGUUUGUAUGUGGGAGAGACAAUCAGCUAAUGUCUAUCACAUUAACUUAAAGCAGGAAAUGAAUGUCUUGGGAGGCCUAGAGGGUAGCUGUGCCUGAUGUUUCAGUUUCCUGAAGAAAAGGCUGGAGAAUUCAUCACAGAAAUAGGACAUGAACUAGGUCAGCUACUGGGGUCUAGGGGUUGAGGUAACAGGAACCAUUUGACAGGCAUUUCAGAUUAUACUGCCAGAAUGCCCUAACCUCAUUGCUUUCCCAUUCUUGUUUUACUCUGCACAGGAGUCAAAGUCACAGUGGAGAGAGUUGGCCAAAUUUGGUUCAGGUGCUCACAAUUCAACUAGGAGAGCUCGUAGAACAUAGACUGAUGGUCCCACUGAACUGUUCAUAAUGGAGAAGAGAUACUUGCUCCCAAAGACAUUGGGGGUAGUUUUCUAAAUAAAGGUUAAAAGGGUCUGGUUUUCCAAACAUAAAUGUUCACUACAAGUAUUAUUAGAUUCCAAAUAUAAAAGGGUAUAAGGAACUCAGAAUGGCUAGAUUAAAUAAAAAGGAUAAUUACCAACAAAUAGUUUUGACUGAAAAUAUGUCUGUUCAUCAGCUUUUUACUGAGUGUCUAAUAUAUGCAAUGUGCUAUGUGGAUGCUACAAUGAAUUGUAGAGGUAGGAGGAAAGGAACUUAACCCAUUUAAAGAGCAUGCAAUCUGACACCUUAUUUUUAAGGUGAGGAGAGGAGAGCUAGACAGAACAGGACAGUAGUGAGUAUUACCAAAGAUGGACUAGACCCCUAAACUGCAUUAUUCUAACCCAUCUAGGGUCUUUCUGUUAUGCUUUACGUACUCGCUUAGUUGCAAAAAUGGUCAUAAACCAAACAAACUUCAGAGAAAGGCAGAGAAAGGACCCUAGUACUAUCCCAUGUUGGAGGCAAGGCUAAGAAGUAAUGGGAAUGUCUUCCUCCUUAUCAUCAAAAUGGGCAGCAUCAAAACCCAUUAUUAAGACCCUAACCAUCCAGUCACUUCAAAACAAGAGCCAUCAACUAAAGGGACUAGAGAACUCACUUCAGCCAAAGGUCUGUCAGUAGAGAGGUGGUGGCCAGUGAAGGUAGUGCUUGGCACUUUUUUCCUGAGAACUAAGAAAAUUAAAAAUAAACUACUGUCUGCUCCAAAUAACUUCCAUACAGCUAUGCAGCAGUACAGAAAAGGGUGAGAAGUGUUGGAUCAGGGGCAGGUUCUCUAACUUCUAAAGGUGCCUUCUGCUGCUAAGAUUCUGCAGCUUCAGGCUCUUUAUUGUAUUUUAGUUCAAUAAGAUUUUUUUUAUUUUUUUUAAAUCUGUUUGCUACUGUAGUACAUUUAAACAUCAGCAGAUGGGGCCCUUGGUUCCUGUGAAGAAUGCCAGGGCUUGAAUUUUGUUCUCGUCUGUGCUCUGCGUGAAUUUUUCUUGUUGCUUUUACAGCAUGUUAAAUUUGUACUCUUUAUAGUUCACAAACCUUUAUUUAAUCAAGAAAAAUAAAACUCACUAAUGGCAAGAGAACCUUUUUUUCCUCUUCUACUGUUCUAUAGAGAUAAGUUAGAUCUGUUUACAAAUAGAAAAAUGAGACUAACAUAAUACUCAGACAACAUGAUUCUGAAACAGCAACAGAAGUCAAUGUUGUAAUUAAUCUGUUGUCCUUAACUCACGAAGCUAUGUGGAAGGCUUUUGUUGCAUGGACCACAGGUGACAGUUUGGUUGCAUCCAAGGUUACUCUGAUUCUGCAUUAUUUUCUCUCCUCUCUCCUGAAUUUCGUUUUAUGAAGACAUUGUGUCAAUUGGCUGGUUUUUAGCACUUGCCAAUGAUUAUUAUUUUUUUAAGUGAUGUUUGUCGAUAGUCCAUAAAGGGAACAACUGGUCAUCUGGUCCUUGCACCUGUUCAAGUGGGUAAGUUUCAGCUUCUUAAAGGUGAGAUUCUUUCCCACCAGAAAUGUAACAGUCCUUUGAGGAAGGAGUGUAGUUUACUGGGCAGGAGAGAUGACAGCAUUUGGUCCUCAUGCAGUCCUCUCUUGAUUUUCUCCCUGAUUUUUAACGUGACCUUGCUCUUAAGGAUUAAUCACUGUUUUUCUUGUGCCUCCAAAAUGGGAUGACCCAGAAUUUUAUUUGGUGGAAAGUACUGUGAGGUAACCAGAACA
This 3921-nucleotide long non-coding RNA is filed under the name Homo sapiens (human). RNAcentral describes it as "LNC_000325". The record is from RNAcentral. Lineage: Eukaryota; Metazoa; Chordata; Mammalia; Primates; Hominidae.